AACCGAAUAACCAUGACCUGGCCCACUCAUGCCUUCAACAAUAAUAGAAAAUCCCUCAACGGGAUUCAACAACCCUCAGAACAAUAUUUAGUCGUAUAAUUCCAACAAACCCGACAACAGCGAAACCCCCCAACCAAAUCGACUUGAACCAACUCCGGCAACGGUGAAACUAGACUCCAACCCAUUUUCUUUUUACCUUCAUCACGCAUUUCACGCAUUCGUAGGACGAGAAAACCCUCAAAAUCUUCUAGAAUGAGUCCAGGUGUCUCCCUCAAUGGCUCAAUUCCACAAAUCUCAGGUAUAGGGGUAUGAUUUCGUACCUAUUGUUACAAUUUCAUUGGCCCUUGGUAAAAAUUCAUUUUUCCUAAAUCUUAUUGGUCCACCAAUUUCAAAAUUUUGGAGAAAAAUAACAAAAUUGGUACAAUUUGUUAAGGGGAAAUCUUAUCUUGAGUUGAAAUGGGGAAUUUCUUUUUAAAAUUCCCUAAAUUGCCCCUGUGUGGCCUCUUAUCCCACAUCAGUGGAGCAUUUGGGAGGGGGAUCUUCUUGCUUUAUAAAUAGCUCUCUUUAGAGUAGGAAAAGGGUUGGAAAUUUUAGUGUGAAAAAAAAAAUCUGAGAAAAGUUAGGUUCGGAAAGAGAGGAAAAAUGGGUUUCAUGAAAUAGUAACUUUUGUUUAACAAAGAUUUUAGGAAGAAGCGAUUAGCUAGCAGGAAAUUUACGGAACGACAUCGAGUUUUCCGGUGGUGUUGGAGUUCGAUGUUAGUUUAUAGUCCUGUUUUGCCGCUUCCGAAUAGGUAAUAUUUCAUUUUAUUUGAUUUUUUGAUUAUUUCUUCUUUGUCUAGACCUUCUGUAGUUUUGAGUAAAUUUUUAAUAAUAUUGCAUGCUGGGUUGUCAGUUGUAGAGGCCUUAAAGGUUAUAGGUUUCUCUGAGUGAAGAAAGUGUUGGAUUUUUAUUACAUUGUAUUAAUGCUGGUUUCAAGUUGAUUAAUGGGAGAUUUUUGUUAUCUCUACCUCGACGUCGAUUUUGUCAUUUACGAUUGAUUUUGCUGGCUACCGCUUAUGUUUUGAAUGCUAGUUUCAUAUCUAAAGUUUCAUACUUUGAUUUUGUUUGGUAAUUUAGGGCUGCUGGUAUCUUGUUAAGGCUGAUUUUGUAGUUAAAGUUUCAUGCUUCGAUCUUGAUUAAUCAUUUUGGGCUAAUGGUACGUUGUUUUGUCUUAUUUCAUAGUUUAAAGUUGCAUGCUUUAAUGGUUGUCGGGCUGAUGGUGUCCUAUUAUAGUUGAUUUUAAGUUAAAAUUUUGGGUCUUAUUAGUUUUGGGCAAAUAGUAUCUUGUUAUGCCUGAUUUCGUAGCUAAAAGUUUCACGUUUUAAUAGUUUCGGGCUGAUGGUGUCCUGUUAUAGCUGAUCUUAGGUAAAAGUUUCAUGUUUUAAUAGUUUCAGGCUUAUUGUAUGUUGUUAUGUUUGAUUUCAAGGUUUAAAGUUGCAUGCUUUAAUGGUUUUCGGGAUGAUGGUGUCCUGUUAUAGCUGAUUUUAUGUUAAAGUAUCGUGUUUUGUUAGUUUUGGAUUGAUGAUGCCUUAGUAUAGCUGGUUUCAUAGUUAAAGCUUUUUGCUUUGAUCAUGUUUAAUAGUUUCGGGUUGAGGGUGUUUUGUGUGUAUUUGACGUCAUUUGUGGUCAUUAGUUGAUGUUGUUGAGCUGGUAACGUCAUUAACCGAACUUUCUCUUGAGUUCGUUGUCUUCUCAAAUGACAAAGAAUAACGAGGAUAUGUCUGAUAAAACUAGCAAAUCCCAUGAUUCCUCGAUGACCAUUUUGGCUAUUGAAACUCGUUUUGAGUUUGUCGAAAAGGGGAAAAGGUUGAUAAGAGUGCCCAGCCGCAUCCCCUCUUGAUUUAUUUUCUCUGUCUUCUCAUGUGCGGGUGGGAAUUUCUUUGAAAGUAAAUAAAAUAAUGUGUUAUUUCAUGUAACUGAACAAGUUGUGCCUUAUGACAGAAUCUCUGAAGUUUGUUAUCCAUUUUUAUUCAAUUUUAUGCUUCGUAAAUUCCAGUGAAGAGUCAUUCUCUCCUUUCUCUGGUUGGGUACUACUGUUAAGCCAGAAGGAUCAUAGUAGAUUGUUUCUGAAUGGCGUAUCUUCUUGUUUUGUUCUUGACUCAUUUGUUCGCGAUAUUAUUAGUGUAUAAUAUAGAUGGUGGAAUUAAGACAUUACCAUUGCAAGAAACUUCAAAUUGUAUUCUCAGUGAGAUGUCGAAGUUACAGAAGCAGAUGGGAUAUCAUAUCUUCAUUUACUACAUUUUUAGCCUUUAUGGCUCAUCUCCAGAUAUUCAGUCAAAGUUAUGCAAAGUUUAGAAUAAAUUUUAUGUGAAGUUAUGUACUUCAUUAACCAUCUUCCUAUGUGAAUCAAUAAUAAAAACGAAUAUGUAGCUGAUGUCAUUUUUCCUUAAAAGACUGAAAAAAAACUCUAAUAACAAUAUUAAUUUUGGUUGGUUUCUUAUUGCAAUAUUGCUUUUAUUUAUCUCAAAUUCUAACUGUGUGAAUCAUUGAUUGGUGCUUGACUAUCUUUUUAUGGUACUAUGAAUCCUUUAACAUGCUAACUACCAACCUGAAAUAUAUAUUAAUUCAUAUAUUUUUCUUUUCUUCGCAUUAAUCCGCCUUGGAGUCCAAACAGGCUCUUUUCCCUUGCAUUUGUUAAUGGGCCAAUAAAGGCCCAUCUCAUGGAGUCAAGCCCGAAGUUCUAGGUCCAAAAGUGAUCCCAUGGCGUAUAGACACGAUGAGUUGGAAGAAGAAAGGCGGGUUAAAGACCCAUAUUUAAAGCGGCUAAGAGACUCAAAAGUCUCAUUUGUUGUUUUAUUUAUUUAAGUAUUGUUGUCUUUAUUUAGUUUAUUUAUUUAUUUAUUUAUUUAGGAAGGGCUGGAAGAUGCGAAUUACGACAGAGGAUUAGGGCCAGUUCGGGUCGCUAGUGUAGGGAAUUAAUUGGUGGGGGUGUAUUCCUGUUAUGAUUCUGUAUUCAGUGUUUCGUGUUCCGUGUUCCAUGUUUAUUACGAAUCUGUGUGCUUUCCUCUGCUUUAUUAUUCCUGCAUUCCUACUUUACUCUGUUUUAUAUUCCCUAUGGGUGCCGUAUCUAUGUUAUGUCAUCUGCUGCUGUGCUGUACUAUGUGUUUGUGUGAUAUCUCGUGACUUGAGCCGGGGGUCUUUCGGAAACAGCCUUUCUACUUCAUCAGAGGUAGAGGUAUGGACUGCGUACAUCUUACCCCCCCCAGACCCCACUAAGUGGGAAUACACUGGGUUUGUUGUUGUUGUUGUUGUUGAUUUAUUUAUUUAUUCAUUCGGGCUAUGAAGCCCAAGUUGUAUUUAAUACAGGUGGAGCAGAUUUUGGGCCAACGGGCCUGAAAAGAAAAAUAGUUUAGGACAGGUGCAAAUGGGCCAAAAGCCCAAUUAGGGUUGGGCCCAAUGGCCUAAAUUUUUUACUUUCUCCUCCCUUUCCCCUUUUACGUGUUUAUUUGUUUAUUAAUUUUAUUUAGACUUAGUUAAAAUCCCUACUAAGACACAUAAAUCUAUUUUACACAAGUCUUUUCUAAAAAAAACUCAAUCACUUAACAAAUUAAUAUUUUUGGAAGUUAAUCAAAAGAUGUUUUCAAAUAGUCCAGAUAACCGCAAAUUAGCGGACGUUUUAGGUGUCUAACACCUUCUUAAAAUGUUAAUAGCCGCUUACUCAGGAUCUUCAAAACUUAAAUGAUUUUUCUGUUUUGGAUCGUUUAAAGGUUUUUUAGUUUUUUUUCAAAAUUAAAUGGAGACUUUGAAAGUCAAAUUUUCGCAAAAAAGAAAUGGCGAUUCUGCUGGGGAUAUUUAACUAGGCUUUAACCAAAUGUUUGAUUUCGUCUUUUGAUUAAUUGUUUACAUGUUUAUAUGUUUCAAUUUUGCGGUAUUUAAUUAUUGUAUCUCAUAGCAUAAUCCUGCAUUGAUUUAUUAAAUUAUUUUAGGGUUUCGUGAAUGUCUCAGCUCCUGUUGUUCAAUUCCAAAUAAAGUGUUGGAAAUACGUUGGUUUAUUAGCACGUGAGUCAUCUGAUGGCUGUCGUAUUUUCAAACACAAGUCGUCCUCUUAGGAACCUUGUUCAAAUCCACUCUAGACACCUAGGAUAAAGCAAAACCAAAAUUCUAUUUUAGGUAUGAGCCUAGGACGACCCAAUACUUGAGGAGGUAUUGGGCCUAUUAUAAAAUUUGUCCUGUGUCUAUUGACCUCGAGUCAAUUACAGACGAAUCAUAUUUAUGUAUUGAAGAAAUUUAUGUUUAUUUAAUCCAAUCCAUUAUCCUUUGGGGGUUGGGAAAAAUCUUGCUUACUUUCGUGUAAGGAUGCCUUAAUCAUACACUAAUUGAGAGAGGAAUCGAAGCAAGUCAAGCAAGAAAUUAAUCGAUUUGGGCGGUUGCAUCCAAGGCAUAGCCAUACGAAAAUUUCUUGAUCAUCAAUAGAUGUCGCCAAUGAUAAGAAGUGGACAAAGCUAAGAAGGACAAGGCCGACAGAAGAAGCAUUCAGGAGUUAGUAUUUCUCAUCCCCUGUGCGGGACAUCAUUCUUUUUCUCAUGUUAUUUUCCUUUCCCUAAAGAUUGUACCCCUUUUGUGCAACUUUUAUAGGCAUUUAUGUCAUUUAUCUAUAUUUAUGAAAUUGGGGGAUAAUGGAUUGGCUUUAAAAAAAAGCAUAUAUUUUCUUCAAAGUUCGUCAGGCCUAACCCUUGGCUCAAAAGGGUCACCUUAGUUAGGAUACGUGUUAUUAUAAUAUUUUUAUGCGAUAUAACCACCUUAUGUGUUUAUGUGCAUUUAUUUGAAUCAAAGGCAAUUUUAUCCACUAUGCUCAUGUGGAUCACUUUGGCUAUGAAAAACAACUCUAUGUGUUUAUUACUUGUCAAGUAUCUUGCAUUACUUAUCACAUAUGGAAACUAACACAUCUGUCUUUGAGUUAUUUUACUUUACAGAUAAAAGAAAACUACUCCAUGUUGAAAUAAGCUGGCAGAACAUCCUUACUUCACCCCGAUCAAAAGCGCAUAAGAUCCCAUCCCCUAAUCAUUCAAACAUGACUGGGAGUGGCGAAGAAAAUGCAUUGACCAUUAGGGACAAUGUAAUAGUGGA
This 5106-nucleotide long non-coding RNA is filed under the name Capsicum annuum. RNAcentral's name for it is "long non-coding RNA (CANN_LNC018625)". Lineage: Eukaryota; Viridiplantae; Streptophyta; Magnoliopsida; Solanales; Solanaceae. The record is from RNAcentral.